RNAcentral lists this ribosomal RNA (513 nucleotides) under uncultured bacterium. RNAcentral's name for it is "bacterial SSU rRNA". It matches the Rfam family "Bacterial small subunit ribosomal RNA", at positions 28 to 530 of the family's 1533-position model. The record is from RNAcentral.
GAUGAACGCUAGCGGGAGGCUUAACACAUGCAAGUCGAGGGGCAGCAUAGGGUAGCAAUACUCUGAUGGCGACCGGCAAACGGGUGAGUAACGCGUAUGCAACCUACCCUGUACAGGGGGAUAACCCGGAGAAAUUCGGACUAAUAUCCCGUAAUAAUAUCCGGAGGCAUCUUUGGAUAUUUAAAGUUCCGACGGUACGGGAUGGGCAUGCGUAACAUUAGCUGGUUGGUAAGGUAACGGCUUACCAAGGCUAUGAUGUUUAGGGGUCCUGAGAGGGUGGUCCCCCACACUGGUACUGAGACACGGACCAGACUCCUACGGGAGGCAGCAGUGAGGAAUAUUGGUCAAUGGGCGCAAGCCUGAACCAGCCAUCCCGCGUGCAGGAAGACGGCCCUAUGGGUUGUAAACUGCUUUUCCAGGGAGAGAAACUUACGCACGUGUUGCGUGACUGACGGUACCCUGGGAAUAAGCAUCGGCUAACUCCGUGCCACGCACGCCGCGGUAUCGUACGAG